GAUGAACGCUGGCGGCGUGCCUAACACAUGCAAGUCGAACGGAGAUUCCGGACGGAAGUUUUCGGAUGGAAGCCUGUACUUCUUAGUGGCGGACGGGUGAGUAACGCGUGGGCAACCUGCCCUAUACAGGGGGAUAGCAGCUGGAAACGGCUGGUAAGACCGCAUAAGUCGGUUAAAUCGCAUGAUUUGAUCGGGAAAUGAGCAAUCAGGUAUAGGAUGGGCCCGCGUCCGAUUAGCCAGUUGGCAGGGUAAAAGCCUACCAAAGCGACGAUCGGUAGCCGGACUGAGAGGUCGGACGGCCACAUUGGGACUGAGACACGGCCCAAACUCCUACGGGAGGCAGCAGUGGGGGAUAUUGCACAAUGGAGGAAACUCUGAUGCAGCGACGCCGCGUGAGUGAAGAAGUAUUUCGGUAUGUAAAGCUCUAUCAGCAGGGAAGAUGAUGACGGUACCUGACUAAGAAGCCCCGGCUAACUACGUG
Molecule: ribosomal RNA, 481 nt
Filed under: uncultured bacterium
Lineage: Bacteria
Description: partial 16S ribosomal RNA
Rfam family: Bacterial small subunit ribosomal RNA
Source: RNAcentral